This is a long non-coding RNA of Labeo rohita (rohu), 480 nucleotides long. RefSeq lists it as uncharacterized. NCBI's taxonomy places the organism in Eukaryota, Metazoa, Chordata, Actinopteri, Cypriniformes, Cyprinidae. The record is from RefSeq and is a predicted model, not a curated record. The transcript has 3 exons.
GACAAUUUAAUAAGCCAGAAGAAAAAUCUGAUAAGUGAUAGAGAUGGAUUAUUAUCUAAGAAUGUCUAUCUAACAAAAAGUGAAAAGUUUCAUCAGGAGAAAACUGAACUUCGGAAAAGUCAUCUUGGUAAUUGGACACAAUCUGUUAAAAAUGUUGUGUAGUUCCUUACAAAUGAGAAAAGUGCUAAUAACUGGUUGUGUUACAGAUGGAUGGAUUUACUAUCAAUCCAGUUUCUGCUUCAUUUCCUCUGAGAAGAAGAGCUGGACUGAGAACAGAAGAUACUGUACAGAGAGAGGAGCAGAUCUGAUCAUCAUAAACAACAGAGAGGAACAAGAGUUUGCUAAAAAGUUUUCUCAUGGUAAUGCAUUCUGGAUUGGUCUGACUGACAUUGAUGUGGAGGGCAGAUAGAAAUGGGUUGAUGGCAGCACACUGACCUCUAGUUUCAGGUUCUGGGGUAUGCAGAGCCAAAUGGACAUGGA